This 2976-nucleotide long non-coding RNA is filed under the name Mus musculus (house mouse). Its description in RNAcentral is "long non-coding RNA chr6:80269069-80272045". The record is from RNAcentral. Lineage: Eukaryota; Metazoa; Chordata; Mammalia; Rodentia; Muridae.
AUUUAAACAUAUUGAAAAUUUAAAAUAAACCUCAGAAUAUCUUUUUAUAUAUUCUUAAGAAUACUUCGAUCCUGGGUAUAUCAAUCAGUGGGUAAGAUCACUUGCUCUAAAAGCACACUGGCCUGAGUUCUGAUUGCUCACACCCAUUUAAACCUUAGCAUGUAAGGUCACACAUAACCUUGGCAUUUCAGGAAACAGAGCUGGGAAAUAGCACAGGAUCACCGAGAAACUCUUUCAAAGGGAAAAGGCAGAGAAAAAUAGGAAAUUUGACAUAUUCUACCUUUCAUAUGCACACACACACACACACACACACACACACACACACACACAUCUCAAAUGUCAACCUAAGAUUCAUUACUGUGAAAAAGAAAAAAAUUCAAAAUUUAGCAAUUCAUAUAUAAGUCAAUAAAGAAUCCUGGGAAAUUGAUACUAUAUCAGUGUUGAAUCCACUAGGUUUAGACUUAGAAGACAAUAACUGAAUAAUCUCAAAUAGUUAAGUAUUAUGUUAUUUUUCAGCCUUAGCUUGGGUAACCUAAUAUCCCAUUCUCACAGUACCUUUGUUUUUAUACAUAUAUGGGAUAUAAUUUUCUAUGAAGAUUUAAUCCAUACACCAUCCAUGGGAGUGUUGGCUCAUCUAAAAUUGUCAACAAUUCUUGAAUCGCUGUGCUUGAAAAUUUUAACAACCACAUAAUAUUGCAAGCCACAGAAUCAAGAAAGCAUUCUUUUGAACUUAGCCUAAUCUUAAAAGAGUAUUAAAUAACUUUAAGCCAAGCUUUAUACAUAUAAAAAAGGGUCAUAAUAAUUCCAAUUGCACAUGAUUAAAGUGUAGAAAAGAUGGUGUAAUAAGGUGAGCACUAAGGAUAAUGCCUGGUUAUAUGCCCAGCUUCCAGGAAUGACAGGAUAGCAUUACAUUAGCUAAAUCCUCAGUUGUGUUGACUCAGUGGGAGAGCUCUGAAAGUCACUGUACUAAACUGGAGAAGCCACAGCUCUUCUGUGGAGUUUUAUUUUAUUUUUUUUAACUUUUUAUCUAGUCAGAUAUUUUUCUUUUAUUCAUUGAAUCUCCUAUUCUCUCCUCUAUAUUCCCUUCCGUUUUUUCUUUGUUCCUAUUUUCUUUUUGGGAUGUGUGUGUGUGUGUGUGUGUGUGUGUGUGUGUGUGUGCAUGCAUAUGCUAAGAUUUGAAGCCUUAUCUCAUUUAUGCUAAAAACCCAUUCUACCAUAGAUAUCUUCACAACCUCUUGUUUUUCUUUCUUAUCCAUUCACUCAAACCUUGAUGAUUGGCUUACCAUCAAACACUAAGUUUUAUUAAGUUUGACUUCAUCAUCCUGGUAUUAUCUUCAUAAUCAUGCAAAGUAACAGUCUUAGUCAGUGUUCUGUGCUCUGAAGAGACAUCACGACCAAAGCAGCUCUUAUAAAAGAAAGCAUUUAAUUGUGGCUUGAUUACAGUUUUAGAGGCUUAGCAUAGUUAGAUGUAGUACUUGAGAAGUUAAAUACAGGCAACAGAAAGAGACAGCCACUGGGCUUGGCUAUGACACAGUUCCUUCAACAGCAAGGCCAUAUCUCCUAAUCCUUUCAAAUAACACUAUGUCCUGGUGACCAUGCAUUGAAAUAUGUAAGCCUACAUGGGUAUUCUUAUUUAAACCACCAUGAUAGCCCUAUCCAUUUUCUUUCCAUAUUUUCCUCUGAUAGAAAAACCACAAAUAAUUUAAAUUCUUUACAAAGUCUUAGGAAGGGAUUUACAUUUGUAGAAGCGCCAGUAAAAGACACUGUAAAAUGUGUAUCAAGGAGAUACCAAAAUAUCACUCAGGACCAACCCUCAUUACCAAAGUUUCAUCCCUGAGACACACAUGUUAGGAGAGAACUGAUUCCAGCAAGUUGGCCUCUGACCUCCACAUACAAAAUUAAAGUGCAUGUAUAUUUCUUAAAAGUUUGAGAUUAUAGUAUAAUCACAUUUCUCCAUUCCUUUUCCUCCUCCUAAAUCUCCCGAAAUACCUUGCUCACUUUCAAGUUCGUGAACUCUUUUAUCAUUAGUUGUUUAUUACAUACAUAUAUAGAUAGAUACUGUGAUGGUUUGACUAUGCUUAGCCAAUGGAAAAUGAUACUAGAGGGAAUGGCCUUGUUGGAGAAGUUGUGGCCUUGUGUUAGGAAGUGGAUCACUGAGGAGGUUUUAAGGUUUUACACUUUUGCUCUGAGCAAGAAAGAAGAAAGUUUCAUUGUGGCUUUCCUCACAUAAAAAUGUAGUGUUCUCAGGUUCUUCUCCAGCACCAUGUCUGUGUGAAAGCUGCCAUAAUGGUAAUGGACUGGAUAUCCAAAUAUGUAAGCCAGUCCCAAUUAAAUGUUUUCCUUUAUAAGUGUUGCCUUGUCAUAGUGUCUCUUCACAGCAAUGAUACCCAAACUAAAACAGAAUUUAGUUCCAGGAGUGGGGUAUUUAUGUGAUCAGCCAAAAGUGUUUGUAAGGAAUAUGGAUUUGGGGACUUCAGAUUUGGAGAACAGUGAAAUGCUUUAAGUGGGGCUUAAUGGGCAAACCUAGUGGGAGUAUGAAAAAUAUUGGUGCUUAGGUGAUUUGAACUCUAGGGGCCUGCAUCAAGAGCUUUCAGAGGAGAGGAAUUUUAGUAUAUUGCCUGGAGAUCUUUCUUGUGGGGUUUUGGUGAAGAAGAAUGUGGUUCUUUUUUUUUAAUGUCUAAAAAGGAAUAAAAAAUAUAUUUUAAAAUACUAUUCCAGAUUGACAAGUGACUAUCAAUUCUAACAUACUUAUGUUUGCUGACUGACUAGUCGACUGGCUUGCUUUCUCUCUUUUCUAUCUUAUGUGGUUCUUUUAUGCCCUCUUCUGAGUUGUCUGCUUAAGGCCAUGGUGAAGAGAUUCAGAUUAGUUUCAUUGAAGAAGGAGGUCUCAAAGCAUCCUAGCAUGGAUUCUUGCCUGUGGUUCACUCAUGAAAAUAUCUUCUGAUUAGAUGUAGCAAGCUUAGAAAGGAAAAAAAG